AUUGAACGCUGGCGGCAGGCCUAACACAUGCAAGUCGAACGGUAACAGGAAACAGCUUGCUGUUUCGCUGACGAGUGGCGGACGGGUGAGUAAUGUCUGGGAAACUGCCUGAUGGAGGGGGAUAACUACUGGAAACGGUAGCUAAUACCGCAUAACGUCGCAAGACCAAAGAGGGGGGCCCUCGGGCCUCUUGCCAUCGGAUGUGCCCAGAUGGGAUUAGCUUGUUGGUGGGGUAACGGCUCACCAAGGCGACGAUCCCUAGCUGGUCUGAGAGGAUGACCAGCCACACUGGAACUGAGACACGGUCCAGACUCCUACGGGAGGCAGCAGUGGGGAAUAUUGCACAAUGGGCGCAAGCCUGAUGCAGCCAUGCCGCGUGUAUGAAGAAGGCCUUCGGGUUGUAAAGUACUUUCAGCGGGGAGGAAGGGAGUAAAGUUAAUACCUUUGCUCAUUGACGUUACCCGCAGAAGAAGCACCGGCUAACUCCGUG
This 490-nucleotide ribosomal RNA is filed under the name uncultured bacterium. RNAcentral describes it as "partial 16S ribosomal RNA". It matches the Rfam family "Bacterial small subunit ribosomal RNA", at positions 30 to 507 of the family's 1533-position model. The record is from RNAcentral.